ACACAUAUAUAUAUAUAUACACACAUACAUACAUAUAUAUAGUUCUCUUGUCCUCCUGAUAUCUGUAGGUUUCAUCCUCUCACUUCCUUAGGCUUCUCCCCACAUGGCACCAUAUCAGAAAGGCCUUCCCUGACGACUUAAUGUAGAAAAACACCUCCAAGCACUGCCAGUCCUCCAUUUUAGUUUUCCUCUUUUCACUUAUCGAUGACAUAUUAGAUACUUACUCAUUUGUUUUUUAAUUUUAUCUCUCCCCAGAGUAGUAUGUCACCUCUAUAAGAGCAGACUUGGUUUUGUUUUCUGCUGUGUUCCCAGAACCUGGAGCACAGUAAGUGCUCAGUAAAUACUUGCUGGAUUUUAUGAAUAUGUGGCCCCUUUAUGAAAUGGCAAGGAAGAGCCUGCACUGAUGCUCCAGGUGAGUUGAGCCCUGGAUGGCUCACUGAUUAGCAUUUAUCUUAACCAAACCAGGGCAAUGAGGAGAAUUAGGUGGCUGCCUAGGGGCCAUUCACACACAUGCCUUUGGGACCAAUGCUUUUUCGUCUGCGGCAAUGGCGUCCUGCUUUCUUGCUUGCGCUUUGUACCAUGGUUGCAAUGCUAUCUAGAAUUCCCAUGGCAGCUUUACAAUAUGAUUAAUUUUGCUCAUAUAGAUACAUAUCGAUCACAGAAAAAGAUGACUCAAGGUUUAAAUUUAGCCCUACAAAUUGAAAGUCAGAGGUGUGCUACCUAAUUGCUCCCAGACUAUGAAAAAAAAGCACAGCGUCUGCCAGUACUGAAUCACUUUUCUCCACCCUUUUUCUCCCUUCCCUUCAUGCUCUCUGUCUUAAUUCUGUUCACGUCAUAAACCAUGGUAGCUUAAUAAAGUGAAAAAUAACAUUGGGAGUCCUGACACUACCACUUGUUCACUGUGAGAUCUCAAGCACGUUACUGCCCCUCCCUGAGCUUCAGUUUCCUUCUUGGUAAAGUAGGCCUACUUGAAAACAGGUGCUCAAUAACAUAUGUUGAGCGAAAGAAGCCUAAGUGAAACAGCAUGGGUAGAAUGUCUAGCCCAGGAUGAGCACUCAGUAGAUGCUAGUCACCUGCCAUGCUCAUUGAUGCACCCGACUGUGCUGUCUUCAUGAAAUUUAUUUGGCUUUGGUCAACCAUUAGGAUAGGUAACCCAGCUGAAAACAGAGGAUGGCUCACAACAAGGCCUUUCAUAAUCAGUCCCUCAUAAGGGCUUUUAUAGAGGCCCUACUAUGCGUCCAGUAAGAUGGAAGAUUCAAGGGGUGGAUGGGGCAUCAAGCCAGCGAGAGGCAUACUUUCUACUGCUAUUGUGUCCUGUAGCUGCUGUAACAAAUGACCACAAGCUUUGUAGCAUAAAGCAACAGAAAUGUAUUCUCUCAUGGUUUUAGAAGGUAAAGCAGUUGAAAUCAAGGUGUUGUCAGGGCCACGCUCUCUCUGAGGGCCCUUAGGAAGAACCCAUUCUCUGCCUUUUGCAGCUUCUGGUGACUUCUGGGGUUGCUUGGCUUGUGGAAGCACAGCUCCAUUCCCUGCCUCUGUUUUCACGUGGUCUUCCCUAUUGUUUGUCUGUGUCUCAAAUCUCCCUCUCUUUUCUCUCUAUACCCUACAUCUAGUAUUUCCCUCUUGGGUGAUCUCAGUCAAAUGGCUAUACUUUCUUUACCCUCAGUUUCACUAUUGAGAAUGGACUAGCUAUGUCUUCUUCACUAAGAUGGUGUGCAGGUAAAAUAGGACAAAGCUGGUCAAAAGCUCUCUGCAUUAUGGAAGAUAGUUGCCCAUAUAAUUCUCAAAUUCUAAUCUGUCUCAGGUAUGGACUGCUUCACUUUAUCUUCUUCCUUAUGUGACAUUUUGACAGAUGAAUGAGGAGGGAAGGAGCAGGAGCGGGGGCAGUGGAGUUUCUUUCUUUUUGUAAUGCUUUUUGUUUUGUUUCCAUUUCAAAAUGCCAGCCCCCUCUGAAGUGGCUCUCCUAUACCCUUCUCUGUCCCUGCUCUUUCUGCUCACUGCUGGCUAUCUCACCCAACCAGGCCUAAAGAGGCAGGGGAAGAAGGGCAGGAGUGAGGGCAUGAAAAGAGCUUUGAGGUGAAAAGAAGUCCCCUUGUCUUCUCUGGGCCUUAUUGAGGAUCCCUGCUGUCCCCAGCUGUGCACUGGGCAUUUGGGAUAGAGGUGGGGGGAUGUAGAUGGGAAACAUAGCGUUCACUCUCAGUGUACUGUCAAGUCUAUUGAGGCAAAACGAAAACAGCUUAAUAACAGAGCAAGGCCAGCUUAGAUCAAAGUCUUAGUGUCAGAAGCAAAUAGCCCCAAAGGAGGCUGGAAACAGAGAGACCACUUCACUGGGUAAAACACCAUAUUAGGUGAGCUCAGUGCUAGGCUCUCCCUUCUUUCCUCUCAUUUCAAAUUUUCGGCACUUUAUGCAAUAAAUAUCUUUAAGCACCUGUAGCAUAUCAGACCAUUAUUUUAUACACAUUGUUUAUUUGAUCCUUAAAACAAGACCAAAAGCUAAGUAUUAUAAUUACCAUCUUUUGGAGGAAGGGGACCAAGAUUUAUGGACUUGCUUAAAUUAAGAUCACACCAUUGUUAAAAGAAGGAAAUAGCUUUGAACCCACACCCAUCAAGCCCCACAGCUCCUGCUCUUUCCACUCUGCUAUACCGUUUGUUGAAAGUAUAUGGAAAGGAGCCACGCGCUUUAUCGGGCUGCAUCGCAUUGCAUGCGUUUUUAGUAUAUGUGUGCACAUGCCAAUUGGUAUGUGGGAAUCCUGCUGGGUGAGUUGUAAUGAGGGCGUUUUGAGUGGCUAGAUGCAUUUUUGCUGGCGAGGCCUGGCUCAAAGAGAAUAGGAAAGGAAGCAUACAAACCCACUGUGUGGGAGGCUAGUCACACAGUGUGAGGGCUGAUCCUUGAAGAAACUAUUGGGAAAUGGGUCUAUUAAGCCCUAGUGAAACUUUACUUUGCUGAGGGAGGGGCGUAGGGGGGGACUUGGUUUUUCCAUGACUAUUUGAUUUCCAAAGCAUAAUUCAUUCCCCAUUCUUUAAAAAAAAAAAAAAAGCAAUAUUUGUUUAGCACCCUGUGUGCCAGGCAUGGUGCUUGGUGCUUUAUAUCAGUGACAUCGUUUAAUUCUCACACACACUUACCCAUUAGUGCCACUGUUUAGCCCAGGAGACAGCUUCAGGAGGGCCAGAUGAUUUGCUCAGGAUUAUUUAGCUGGUGUAGAGCAAUGCAAGGUCCUGCCCUGUGCUGUCCAACAGCAGGCCACACUGGCAUUUUAAAGUUAUUGGUGGGACAUUCUGUCUUUUAAUAUAGUUGUAAAUUAUCUCUAAAUCAUGAAAUAGGAUGGCGGCAUACUGAUCCUGCCUCUCCUCUGUUACAAAAAAGAAAGGCAUUAUCUUUUCAUUCCUGAGUAACUAAGAUUCUUUGCCCCAGAGAUAAAAAUCUCCACUCCAGGUCACUCGGGUGUCAUUGUCCGGAGGGUACGAUUGCUACUCUUGCUCUCAUUUGGCCCUUUUUCUUCUUCUUUUGCUGAGGUACCUGGCCUCUUUCAAGACAUCUCUCUCUCCCCUAUACCCAUCACUAUAGUAUGAGGCUGCUGAGGUGGCACCAGCCACGAUAUGGAGGCAGGGACCUGUGGCCUGGAUGAGCGUGUAGUCAGACAGACCUGGUGUGUAUGGAGUCUAGAGGGCUGUCUGAGAUUUGAGAUAGGGUCUAACAGUCUCCCAAAGACCCCUGGUCCCUGCUCACCUACUGCCAUCACAGAAGGGAAAAGAUGUCCUCAGCGUCACUGGAGAGCAUUUGGCCUCUGAGGCAAGCAUUUGGGCCACCAGCCCCCUAUAAGAAUGGAUGGUGAUUAUGAAUGUCUGAAUGGAUUUACUAUUUGUCCUGGGUGGAGGAUUGACCCAACCUUUCAGAAGCAGAAUGAAUAACAAAGAGGAAGGUCUUUGCAACUCUAGGGUUUGUCCUUUCACAUCUCUUUUAAGACUUUUGAAAGCAGCAAGCAGUGGGAAGGGAGAUGAGUGGAAUGAGCAUUUGUUAAGGAGGAGAAACCCUGAGAUGCUUGGUUGUAUGACCUGGGGUUGGGAAGCCACUCCACUUCACAUCUCUGAGCCUCAAUUUUCUCUCCUGUCGUUUGGCAAAGGUAGUGCUUCCCUUCUCCUUCCCCUGCCCCAGAAGGCUGCUGUGAGAAUGAGAUGAGAAUAUGUUUAGGGUUUUGGAGCCGGGUCCCAACUCAGAGAAAGUGCUUAGGCCAAAGUCCAGAGGCCUGGAGUGUACUCCAGACUCUGCCCUGAACUCUGUAUCUCUUCUCUCUGGGGCUCCCUUUCUAUAAAAUGAGGGCAUUAGGGUAGCUUUUUUUUCCCCUCAAUGGUCCCUUUUGAUUCUAAAUGCCAUGACUCUUUUCUCAAAGUAGAGGAUUAGAUACAACAUUUUGGAGAUAAAUGGAUCAUUUAAUAGUUACCCGCUCAGUCAUCCAACAAACAUUUAAUGAGACCUACCACAUGUCAGCCACAGUGCUAGGUAAUGGAUAGAAUAACAAACAAAACAGACGUAGCUCCUGCCUUCAUGGAACUUCUAGUCUAGUAUAAGACUGUUUGGAAGAAUUUCCUCAUCUCAGAUAAAGAAGUUCCAGGGCUCCAAGGGGAACAUCGUUAGUGAAAAGAACUAUGUCAGGCAUGUAAUAGGUGCUCAAAUAUUUGCUAAAUGAAUAAAUCAAUACAAGCAACUGAAGGAAGAUCUGGCAGUGAGUGACCCUAGAGUUGGGAGCAGUUCUUUGGAGUCCAUAAAGACCGUGGGAGCUCUGGCAAAGUGUGUGUUUAAUUGCUAAACAAUUUGUUUGUUCAGACACCUGUGGAUGGGAGGAUCUGCCCCUACCUGCCCGGUUCUCAAGGUGGCCGCUGACUGGGAACAACGAUGGCUUCACUUGCCAGGUCUUUUCAUAGAGGUGGAGUCUGUGCAGAUGCUGGAACCCAAGGGAAGAAGGGAAAAGUGGCCAGAGAAAAAUGCCAGUGUUGGUAUGACAUUUGGACCAAGCCCAGAGGAUCCUUAGAGAUUGUGGGGUCUCAUCUGUAUCCUGUCAGAGAGAGAACUGAGGCCCAGCUGGGAUGUGUGGCCACAAAAGAAGUCGGCUCUAAGCCAUGCCAGGAUGCUGCACAGUAAGGUGGAAAGAACCAGGGCUUAGGAGUUGGAGAAUACUUGGAUUUGAAGGCUCUGGAUCCUUGCAUAAAUCGCUUAAUCUCUCUGAAUCAGCUUUCUCAUCUGUUGAAGAGACAUCACAGUGGUGGCAUGUGGAAGAUGUCAUGAGGUAUAAUGUGUCUCGGGAACCUAAAAUCAUGACCCAGGACUCACUAUAGACCUCAUAAUUGGUAUUUAUAAUUAUUACAUUAUUAGGACUCAGGUCCUGUUCUGUGCAAUGUUGAAAGAUAGUGAUAAGAACAAUUUUGAUGACAGAACUUAGAAGUUUGUGUAAUCUUCAUUAUAAAUGAAAUAGUGAAACAAUGCUGAGUGGAUUUAGAGAGGCUUCACUCCUUCAUUAACCAGCUAUCUGACCUUAGAUAGGCAUUUCCCCCAUCCUUGGGAUUGGUUUUCUCUUCUGUUAAAUGGGGAUCAUUUUUAUGCUCAACCUCUUCUUAUCCAUCUACUAAACAUUUAUUGAAUGCCUACUAGGAGUCAUAAUAUGCUUAGUGCUGAGGACACAGGAAGAGGACGCAGUUCCUGAUCCUAAGAAGCUUAUUACCUAGUGGGACACUAUUAAACAGGUACUUACAACAGAGAAUAGUAUGUAUAGAGCAUAGUACGUAGCAGGAGCCUAUUCCUGUCUGAGUGGACAAGGAGGCUUCUUAGAGGAAGUAACAUUUAAAGCUGAGGGCUGAAGGAUGAAUAGGAUUUAACCAAGUAAAAGUAAGAAAGGAAGUGGGGAGCUGGCAAGGCACUUCAGGAAGAAGAAACUGCAUGUGCAGAGGUCAGGAGGUCAGAGGGCACAGCGGACGUGAUGAUGUGGCUAGCUGAGCAUGUCUGCGCAGUGUCAACUUUGUUGUGAACACAGGGGGAGACUACUGGGAGAUUUUAAGCCAGGGAGUUGGAGUAUGAUCACAUUUUCAUUUUAGAAAGAACACUCAGGGUUAUAUGUGCUGAUGUGAAGUUUGAUUAUGGAGAGCGGUUGGAAAAAGUCGAUUCUUUCCUCUUCCUCCAUCAUCCUCCUCUUUUCCCUGUCCACAUAAAAUGGCUCACAUAAGGUAAAAUAACCCACACAAGCAUGCCUUGUGGAAUGUCUGCCACACAGUAGGUGUCUAAUUGUCAUAUAAUUUCUCCCUUUUUAAAUGUAGCUCCUGAAAGAGAAAUCCCCUGGCAUGAAGACAAGUUGGGGCAAAAACGGUGAGGGUGUGGAUGUUUGUAUCUCUGGCUGGUGUUUGGAUUUAGGUCAGAGGAAGUUCCCCAGACAAUUCAGCCUCAACCAGUCAUCUGGGGUUUCAGGGAGGGCAGGUGAAGGUCAUAAUAUCCCCCCACUUCAGGAGGUCACUCUUCCCCAGAAUCCUGAUCUUGAAAAUGUACCAGACGUCGGCCAUCGAGUUAAUUUGUCUGAGUCUGUAUCCUCAUCUGUAAAAUGGGUAUAAGGUUACCUGUGCUGUCAGCCACAUGGGGUUGUUGUAAGAAACAGAAAGUGUGAACCACCACAAAAUAAUAUAAGAUUACAUUCAUUAAUGGCUACCCUGGGCCAGGCCUUGUUCUGUGAAGUAGGUAUUAUCAAUUAUCCCUAUUUUACUGAUUGAGGAACCAAGGGUCAGAGAGAUUAUGUGAGUCACGCAUGGGCACAGAAUAAGUGGCUAUAGCUGGAGUGCUGGCAUUUCAACCACAACACUGUGACACCAUGACUUGUUCUCCCUUGAAAACCACCUCCUGCUCCCUGAUCUCCUAGCAUGAUGCAGGUACUCCAGAAAUGAGUAUAGAAAGAUGGAAAAAGGAAGGAAAGGGGUAGUGUCUGGAGUCUGAGAAAGUUUUUUCAGAUGCCUCCCCACUUCUCACCCCACCAUCUUAGGGUUUUCUCCCAGAUGCACUCUUGGGAAAUGUCUCAGGGCAUCCUAUUAAAAUGUCCCAUUACCUGUCUGACUCCUCACUAGAUGGGGACUCCUGGGGGCAGGGACUGUGUCUGGUUCCCCUAUCCCAAGGGUCUAGUGCAAUGGCUGCCACUCAAUAAAUAUUUGUAAAUGAAUUCCUCCUGUCACGGUCUGAAUUUUCUGCCCACACUCUCCUCUUGGCCAACAGGCCUAAAAGCAAAAAAGCUUGAAAGUCUUCCAAGGUCACUUGGGUGCAUAUGAUGGAGGCCCAGCAAGAGGUCAGUGUGCCGCCCUGGGGCAAGCCUGCAGGAUGAACCCAGAGGACUGGAGUGCCCUGCUUCAUCCAGCUCAUUUUCCCCAUCGGACCUCACACAGAGUCCACGUGUUAUGUUGCAUGAGGACCCCUAAGGACUUGCUGAGUGGUUCUGGGUGCUCAAGUCACUGUACCUGCAGGGUGUCUUUAGCUGGGGCCCACCUGACUGAUUGGCUGGUCGAUGAGUGGCCUGAGAACCAGAACUAGCCACCUCCGGCACAUUGAGCAACCGGCUUCCUUCCUCACCCCCGGGCAGGAGCUGGGUCAGGGAAAGUGAAGAAACCCGUUUGGGGCCUCAGAGGGUGGGCGUGGGUGGGGCCUUGCCGGGCAAAGAGGUAACUGGACUAGUUUCCUUUGCUCCAGGACCGGAUGCAAAGCCGGGACUGAGGCGGAGGCAGGAGAAAUACGCACCCUGGGUGCACCUGUAAGUCCGCCAGGACUACAUUGGUUUUGGCUACGACAUGACUAGGGGCUCUGGGUCGGUGAUCGCUGGGCGUGGGGCUUCCUGCUGCUAAAUCCGGCGAGUGAGCCGGCCGGGCGGCGUUGAAUGACCUGACGGAUGGAGCUGGAAGAGGCUUUGGCAAUCCAGCGGGCAGGCGAAGGACACCGCGGGAAGGGGUGGUGCCUGGAAACACAGCAGGGCAGUCGCGCCGCUCCCCUGCUCUCGCCAGCAUGCUUUCUUUUCCUGGCCUCUGCAGCUCCUCCGGGCUCUGCGGUAGCAUGAAAGGCACCCAGGACAGAUUUGUGUUUGAAUCCAAGCUUUUCCACCUACACUCUUUUUUCUUGGGCGAGUGACUUCUAUCUGACCCAGAGUUUUCCCAGACCAAAGUGGGAAGACAUUGCCUACCCCAAAGCGUUGUGGGAAUCAAAGUCAAUGAAAUGACAUAGGAAAGGUGCCUAGCACAUAGCAGGUGCUCAGCAAAGCGGGGUUCCCUUUCCCUUUGUUUAGCCCCGGAUCUCACUCCCAGCCCUGAUGUCGUACCUCAAAGGCAGCCCUAGGACGGUGGGGUAUGGGAGGCAGGACGCCUGGCCUGGCAAUAACUCAUUUGAAGCAUUAAUGGGAUGGGGGCGAGUGGGCAGAUUCCGAAGGCUGCCUUUGGAACGCGUUUCUGUGACCCUAGGAGGGAAUUUCAAUGCAUUCUUCCGUUCACGUAUUUAUUCACAGAUUCCUAUCAGGCGAAGGCCGCCUUUCCUGGCCUCCCCCCAGGCCCGCCAGGGAUUCGUCCUUACAAGGCCAGCCUCCACCGUCUGCCCUCUGUGUAAAUAAAGCCACAGCCUUCCGCCUACAGGUCGCCGCAGGUCCCGCCAGCAGCGCCGAGCCGUGGGGGAGGCAGGAACCCGUGCCACCGCCGCUGCGCAGUCCUCCGGAGGCUCGGAGCCGGCCACGCCCCAGCCCUCGCGCUGAGCCCGGGAGCCCGGGAGGAGCAGGAGGGAGAAAUCCAGGCUCAGACCGUCGGCCCACCCGUGAGCACCCUUCUUCACUGAUAACUCUGCACGUGGCAGGCCCUAGACAGACAGCAGCCCGAAUCUUCCCAGAAACCCUGCAGGGAGAUUCCUUCUUCCUAUAUCAUAGAAGGGAGGCUGAGGCUCGGCACGUUUAAAUGGCUUGACGAAGGUCCCACAGGCAAAAAAUAUAUAAAUAAAUAAUAAUUUUUAAAAAUGGUACAGCAAGAUAUUGUAACCCAAUGUGUCUGGCUGCAAAACCCAGUCUUUCCCCAUGCAACCUGUUGUCACCGAGACUGUAAAACUACUAACCGGGAAGAAUCAAAUGCACGGCGAGUUACAGGUUAACAGCCCGACAGGAGCGGAAAAGGACCCUGCAGCGCUUCCUUGGGGGUGUCACAUAGGACACCUAGAACCACAGAGGAACCGCAGGCGAAUUUUCUUGGCUGAUGGGUUUACUCCUUUUUGCAUGAAAGCAUACAGUUCCUUAUUAAAACAAACAAUGGUUGAUUA
Sapajus apella (tufted capuchin) is the source of this 9298-nucleotide long non-coding RNA. RefSeq lists it as uncharacterized. NCBI's taxonomy places the organism in Eukaryota, Metazoa, Chordata, Mammalia, Primates, Cebidae. The record is from RefSeq and is a predicted model, not a curated record. The transcript is spliced from 2 exons.